This 245-nucleotide ribosomal RNA is filed under the name uncultured Parcubacteria group bacterium. RNAcentral describes it as "partial 16S ribosomal RNA". It matches the Rfam family "Bacterial small subunit ribosomal RNA", at positions 796 to 1041 of the family's 1533-position model. The record is from RNAcentral.
CACGCCGUAAACGAUGCAUACUCGGCAUAUGGAGUAUCGACCCUCUGUGUGUCUUAGCUAACGCGUUAAGUAUGCCGCCUGGGAAGUACGAGCGCAAGCUUAAAACUCAAAGGAAUAGACGGGGAUCCGCACAAGUGGUGGAGCAUGUGGUUUAAUUCGAUGAUAAGCGAGAAACCUCACCAGGGCUAGAAACUUAGCUGCAUGUUGUAGAAAUACAACAGCCUUCGAGGGUGCUAAGCAGGUGA